This 579-nucleotide ribosomal RNA is filed under the name fungal sp. MRC8. RNAcentral's name for it is "eukaryotic LSU rRNA". The stretch from base 211 to 364 matches the Rfam family "5.8S ribosomal RNA". The record is from RNAcentral. Lineage: Eukaryota; Fungi.
AGGUUUCCGUAGGUGAACCUGCGGAAGGAUCAUUACUGAGUGAGGGCCCUCUGGGUCCAACCUCCCACCCGUGUUUUAUUGUACCUUGUUGCUUCGGCAGGCCCGCCUCACGGCCGCCGGGGGGCCUCUGCCCCCGGGCCCGCGCCUGCCGAAGACACCCUUGAACGCUGUCUGAAGUUUGCAGUCUGAGCGAAAAGCAAAAUUUAUUAAAACUUUCAACAACGGAUCUCUUGGUUCCGGCAUCGAUGAAGAACGCAGCGAAAUGCGAUAACUAAUGUGAAUUGCAGAAUUCAGUGAAUCAUCGAGUCUUUGAACGCACAUUGCGCCCCCUGGUAUUCCGGGGGGCAUGCCUGUCCGAGCGUCAUUGCUGCCCUCAAGCACGGCUUGUGUGUUGGGCCUCCGUCCCCCACCCGGGGGACGGGCCCGAAAGGCAGCGGCGGCACCGUGUCCGGUCCUCGAGCGUAUGGGGCUUUGUCACCCGCUCUGUAGGCCCGGCCGGCGCCUGCCGACCCUCAUCAUCCUUUUUUCAGGUUGACCUCGGAUCAGGUAGGGAUACCCGCUGAACUUAAGCAUAUCAAU